AGUUCAUGCCUAGCUUGAAAGAGAGUGUGAGCGUUGCAUUUCAGCUUUGUCGAUCUGUUUGAAGCCGAAUAGGAGAUGCCCAGUUUGCUCCCGUGUUUCUUCGUCUCGAUUUCUCAGCUGGAUGCUCGCUUUGGUUUCAGAUAUGGCUCCUUGACUCUCAACUUUUGCUGGUCCCAGUAGUAGUAGUUCCUGUGUAACUUUUUGCUCCAAAAAUAGAUAGAUACUUCUUUGUAAAUAUUACAGCUGUGGAACCCUAUGACCUCAAUGUUGUUAUUAAUCAUGCUGCUUGUUGUUAUUACUGUAUAUUCUCCUUGUUCUGAUCCGAAGUGUUGGUACCUGAUGCUUAUCAAUAUUAAGAAGCUUUUUUCCUA
Long non-coding RNA from Solanum tuberosum (potato), 371 nucleotides. RefSeq lists it as uncharacterized. The record is from RefSeq and is a predicted model, not a curated record. The transcript has 2 exons. NCBI's taxonomy places the organism in Eukaryota, Viridiplantae, Streptophyta, Magnoliopsida, Solanales, Solanaceae.